UGAAUACGAGAUGCUACGGCGUCGAAGCAGUCUAUGUCAUACUUCCAAGAAAAGCUUGCACUGUCAUAAACAAAUAAUGCCUGUACCAUAACCGACACAGGUGGGUAGGUAGAGUAUACUAAGGGGCGCGAGAUAACUCUCUCUAAGGAACUCGGCAAAAUGACUCCGUAACUUCGGGAGAAGGAGUGCCUUAUUUAUAAGGUUGCAAUAACAAGAUCCAAGCAACUGUUUACCAAAAACACAGGUCUCCGCUAAGUCGUAAGACGAUGUAUGGGGGCUGACGCCUGCCCAGUGCCAGAAGGUUAAAGAAGUUGGUUAGCAUCCGCGAAGCUGAUAACUGAAGCCCUGGUGAACGGCGGCCGUAACAAUAACGGUCCUAAGGUAGCGAAAUUCCUUGUCGGGUAAGUUCCGACCCGCACGAAAGGCGUAAUGAUAUGGAUACUGUCUCGGAGAGGGGCUCGGUGAAAUAGACUUGUCUGUGAAGAUGCGGACUACCUGCACCAGGACAGAAAGACCCUAUGAAGCUUUACUGUAACCUGAAAUUGAAAUUGGACUUUACUUGCGCAGUAUAGGUGGGAGGCGUUGAGAAUAUUCUUGCGGGAUUAUUGGAGCCAUCAGUGAGAUACCACUCUUGUAAUGUUAGAUUUCUAACUUUGUAUCAUUAUCUGGUCAAAGAACAGUUUCAGGCGGGCAGUUUGACUGGGGCGGUCGCCUCCUAAACGGUAACGGAGGCGCACAAAGGUUUCCUCUGAACGGGUAGAAAUCGUAUCUAGAGUGUAAAGGCAUAAGGAAGCUUGACUGUGAGACCUACAAGUCGAGCAGGGACGAAAGUCGGUCUUAGUGAUCUGACGGUGCUGAGUGGAAAGGCCGUCACUCAACGGAUAAAAGUUACUCUAAGGAUAACAGGCUGAUCUCCCCCAAGAGUUCACAUCGACGGGGAGGUUUGGCACCUCGAUGUCGGCUCAUCGCAUCCUGGGGCGGUAGUACGUCCCAAGGGUUGGGCUGUUCGCCCAUGAAAGCGGUACGCGAGCUGGGUUCAGAACGUCGUGAGACAGUUCGGUCCAUAUCCGGUGUAGGCGUUAGAAUAUUGAGAGGAGCCUUCUUUAGUACGAGAGGACCGAGAAGGACAUACCUCUGGUGUACCAGUUAUCGUGCCAACGGUAAACGCUGGGUAGCUAUGUGUGGAGUGGAUAACCGCUGAAAGCAUCUAAGUGGGAAGCCCACCUCAAGGUAAG
RNAcentral lists this ribosomal RNA (1235 nucleotides) under metagenome. Its description in RNAcentral is "bacterial LSU rRNA". It matches the Rfam family "Bacterial large subunit ribosomal RNA", at positions 1564 to 2808 of the family's 2925-position model. The record is from RNAcentral.